Molecule: ribosomal RNA, 503 nt
Filed under: uncultured bacterium
Lineage: Bacteria
Description: partial 16S ribosomal RNA
Rfam family: Bacterial small subunit ribosomal RNA
Source: RNAcentral
AUUGAACACUGGCGGCAGGCUUAACACAUGCAAGUCGAGCGGGGUGAUGGUGCUUGCACUAUCACUUAGCGGCGGACGGGUGAGUAAUGCUUAGGAAUCUGCCUAUUAGUGGGGGACAACAUCUCGAAAGGGAUGCUAAUACCGCAUACGUCCUACGGGAGAAAGCAGGGGAUCACUUGUGACCUUGCGCUAAUAGAUGAGCCUAAGUCGGAUUAGCUAGUUGGGGGGGUAAAGGCCUACCAAGGCGACGAUCUGUAGCGGGUCUGAGAGGAUGAUCCGCCACACUGGGACUGAGACACGGCCCAGACUCCUACGGGAGGCAGCAGUGGGGAAUAUUGGACAAUGGGGGGAACCCUGAUCCAGCCAUGCCGCGUGUGUGAAGAAGGCCUUAUGGUUGUAAAGCACUUUAAGCGAGGAGGAGGCUCUUUUGGUUAAUACCCAAGAUGAGUGGACGUUACUCGCAGAAUGAGCACCGGCUAACUCUGUGCCAGCCGCCGCAGUAA